Molecule: long non-coding RNA, 2000 nt
Filed under: Ictidomys tridecemlineatus (thirteen-lined ground squirrel)
Lineage: Eukaryota; Metazoa; Chordata; Mammalia; Rodentia; Sciuridae
Description: lncRNA (ENSSTOG00000032115.1)
Source: RNAcentral
GCGCAGAGGUGAAGUCUCGGCUAAAGCCGGCUUAGGGCACUGUGGCCUGAAUAAACCAAAGAGAAGAUCCACCGUGCCAGCUUCGUGGGCCCCCUGGGAACCGCGCCUGGGAGCGGAUGCUGCUGCCCAGGCGGAACGUGCCGAGUCCCGCGCUCCGAGGCAGCGGGGCACCGCCCGCCUCCGCCCCGCCCCUCGUCUUCGGCUGGUCCAAUCCCACGGCCUUCAUGUAAAUGAGGCUCUGAGAGCGAGCCUACCACCGCCCAGCAGCGUUUUGAUUCAUUGUUAAAAUGUAAAGGCCGUGACCCUGGUACUCGCACCCCGCAGCCCCAGUGCGUGGAAACCCGAGCCCAGGGAAAUGAAUGGCGUUCUCUGUCCAAGGCGGCCCUCCUUUAUGUGGACCAACCGGGAAAGAACCGCCCAGGUGGUGCGGAGCAUCUGUCCACCGUUGGCCACAGGGAGCGAGGCGGGGAGAUGACUGCCCCGUGAAGAUCCGAGGCUCCUAUGCCACGGGCGGGCUAGUGGGUGCCCCACCCUGUCCCCUCUGCGGUCCUCUCUCCUGGGGAGGAGAUGGAGCCUUCCCCUGCUGCCCCCGUGGAGACAUGAAAUUCCACAGCUCUCAGCUGAGAUUGACAACCAAGGCCUGAUCCCUUGGGAGCUUUGGAGGAAAGUCACCAGGUCCGGCCCCUUCUAGAAGGUCAGCCAGUGGCUCACAGGAGCUGCCCUGGCCUGGCUCACCCAACAUGGAGCAUGAGGCUGAGGAGGUCUCCUGGGAACCCUUCGAGGCCAAUAUGCUUACCCAGAGCUGCUGUCAAAACUGCCUCCACCCUGAGGAGGCCCAUGGAGCAAGACACCAGGAGCUGGGGAGCCCUUCCAGUGCUGAGGCGCCCUACUGCGACCUGCCCCGCUGCCCACCAGCCCCUGAGGACCUGCUCGGCGCCUCCACCUCCGAUUGCCAGGGGCCCAAGAGGGGCCUGUCCCUGACAGCAGGGCUUCCUGAGGAGGACCCCACAGCUGCCCCCAGGAGCAGGCACCAGGAGCUGGAGGCAGUGCCCUAUCUGGAGGGCCUGGCCCCCUCCCCGAGUGGCAGCUGCUACGAGGACCCCAACUCUGACACCAGCUGCAGCCCUGGCACUUCCACCCAUGACACCGGCAGGUCGUCCUCUGUGGACUGCGACACUGUGGAGAGGUGGGCGGAAGUCCCCAGCUGGGACCUGCUCGCGAUGAUCCCGCAGAGGCCCCAGGAGGGGCAAAGAGCCGAAGGUGCCCGAAGGGCCACCAGGUCCCCUACAAGAGGAGACACUGCAGGCCAGAAAAAGGAUGAUUCGGGCGCUGGGAGCCGCUGUGCCGCACAGCACUGGGCCAAGCUCCGGGGAGAAGGCCGGUACUUCUCCUUGGAGCGACAGCACUCAGCCCCUGCCCAGGCUUCCUCUGCGACACCACAGCACAGACCUCACAGCGCCACCACCCAGGCCUCUGCUCAGGCUGCUUCAGCACAGCGCGAAGCCCCCCGGGCCUCCUCCCCCCACCGAGUCGCUCAGAAGGACAGCCCUAGGCCCUCUUCCACCCAGCAGGACGCCCCCAGGGCCUCCCUCACCCAGCGGAAUACCCAGGCGACGUCAUUGCCCGCCAGAGUGAGCCCGCGGGCUAGCCCCGGAACCUCAUCCACCCAAGGACACCGUCCUCAACCGUCCUCUCCCCUCAGAGCUGCCCAGGAAGACAACCUCGGAACCUCUGCUCAACAGGACAGCCCACAGUCCUCAGUUCCCACUUCUCAGCGGGAGACCCCCAGGACAUCCUGUGCCCAGCGGGACAACCCCAGAGCCUCCUCCCCGAGCAGAGCCACCCAGCGGGACAACCCCAGAGCAUCUUCCCCCAGCAGAACCACCCAGAGGGACACCCCCAGAACCUCCUGUGCUCAGCGGAACAACCCCAGAACUUCCUCCCCGAGCAGAGCCACCCAGAGGGACACCCCCAGAGCAUCCUCCCCCAACAGAACCACC